This 2932-nucleotide long non-coding RNA is filed under the name Canis lupus familiaris (dog). RNAcentral describes it as "lncRNA (ENSCAFG00000050534.1, ENSCAFG00805013347.1)". The record is from RNAcentral. Lineage: Eukaryota; Metazoa; Chordata; Mammalia; Carnivora; Canidae.
UUUUUUUUUUUUUUUUUUUUUACUAGAACUGAUCAUAGGCCACAUUUUCCCCCAUCUGACCCUUGAACAAUUAACUUUUUGAAUUGAAGAAGCAAGGCUUCAAUUUAGGUAAAACUUCAAUUUAGGUAAAACCCUUAAAGUUUUACCAUACCUGGAACCCUGUAAUCUGCUAAGUCUCUUAUAACUCCACCCUAUAACGUGGGCUUACCUGCAAAUGUGAUCAUGCAUAAUUUCUAUGACUUAAUUCAGAUGGACAAAAAUGCUACGGUGGUCAGGACAGAAUGCAGGCCUGUGAGCCUCACCACUAAAGACCCACUCCCCAACUUUACGAUGCUUUACCAAUUAUGAAGCACUUUCGCAAUCAUUUCACUUGAAUUCUUACAAGUACCCUGUAAAUCAGAUACUAUUGUCAUUCUAUAUGUGAGGACACGAAUUCAGAAAGACUAUCUGACUUGCCUAAUGUGACACAGCUAAUAAAUGACAAAAUAGGAAAAAGCCUUAGGGCUUCUGUUUCCAGUGCCUUUUCAAAAACAGAUUUUUCAUUUUUUCCCCCACCAUCCUACCUUGUUAGAAGUGAAAACCCUUCUCUCUGUAGCGUUCCAGCUGUUGUCUCUAAAUCUCAGGUCGAAUUUGUAGGUUUUCAGGAUGGUUUGAAAGUAAUCUAGGUAAGUUGGUGGGGACAGGUGAGUUGAGGACCCCUACUCCUCUGCCAUCUUGCCCUGCCCCCCCAAUUUUUCAUAUUUUUUUAAAGAUUUUAUUUAUUUAUUCAUGAGAGACACACAGAGAGAGGCAGAGACACAAGCUGAGGGAGAAGCAGGCUCCCCAUGAGGAGCCUGUUGUGGGACUCGAUCCCAGGACCCUGGGAUUACGACCUGAGCCAAAGGCAGAUGCCGCUCAACCACAGAGCCAUUCAGAUGUCCCCAAAACAGAUUUUUAAAUACAAUGACUAGCGUAAUAUCUUUUUCCCUUUUCUCCCCUGCCAUGGAUAUCAACAAAGACUAAUUAAAAUCAAAGAAAUUUUUCUACAAACAAAAUCUCACUUAAAACCCACUCUAUAAAACAGAUUAAAAGCUGGCUGUUCUAAUAGAAAUGAGGUGCAAGACUCUCAGCCUCCAUCUCUGUCCCACUUGAGGCCUCCCCUCAACCCUACUGUAGAUGGUAACUGGCACCUCAUAGUCUUCCACGUACAUUCAGAAGUCACUAGCCAAUGGCAUGUUUUCAAACUGUACCCUUCUCUGAAAACAAUUUUAAAAAUAUGACUAACUUGUCAUACCUUGUUUUCAUAAUAUAUUCUAGAAUUUUGUGGGAGAUAUCCAUUUAAGAGUUUUAAUAAUCUUUUACAUGGAACAGAUUUGUUUUAAAGUUUGAAGGCAACUUUGGGUUAAUUCAAAUCUUUAUUUCACAGAUGAAGAAACAGCAACCCAGAGAAGAGAAGUAACCCACCACAGGAUCAUUCCACGGAGGCACAAGGAUAAGAACCCAGAUCUGGACUCUCCUUGGCAGGACAGACUUAUUGCAGCUUGAAGGAGCCAACCAUGGAUUUCAAGCGUGUGAAGGACUAUUUCUCCUGGCUCUACUAUCAAUACCAAAUCAUCAGCUGCUGUGCCGUGUUGGAGCCCUGGGAACAAUCCAUGUUCAAUACCAUCUUACUAACUAUUUUCGCUAUGGUGGUAUACACCGCCUAUGUUUUUAUCCCAAUCCACAUUCGUCUGGCUUGGGAAUUUUUCUCCAAAAUAUGUGGCUAUCACAGUACAAUUUCUAAUUGAUCUUGUUUGCAUUCUGUGACUCGGCAUUGCCUAUGUAUAUGUUGCUUAUGACUUACAAUUUACGUGAAUACUGAUCUGAAAAGCUCUCUUCUCUAUGCACUCUUAUAUCUUGCCUGAAACGUGGGAUAGAGGUCUCUUUAGGUUCUUUUAUACAUGCUACAUUGUGCAUCAGUCCAUACAUACAAACACUUUACCUCACAUACCAACCAUAUUCUCUCAACUUAGACUUUAGAUUUUGUUUUUAAUCAAGAAACUUCAUAUAAAAUUUUUCUGAAAGGUAGGCUUAUAAGAGACCUACCAGAAUCAUAUUUAAAAUGUUCCCUUGAUACCUAUUCUGUACUAAAGGGUAUAUUUUUUAAAAGAAAUUGUUCAUAAGCUCCUGUCAAAAGUAUCCUAUCCUUGUUUACAACAUAUAAAAAGAUGUGAAUAAAUUAUAUGGGCCCCCUAAAGUCUUAUUUUCUAGUAAACUGCUGAUACCUAAAAUUCUUUUACUUCAAGUGCAAAAGAAUAGGCUGGAGGCAAUUAUCUCUUUUCAGACAUGGUUCAUGAAUUAUUUCAAAUGCCUCUAAAAGUCUGGCUUUAUAACAGUUUAAAAUCAACAAUGUUGAUUUUAGAUAACCCAGUAAGUAUUAUAAUACAAAAAAUAUUAAGUGUAAGGAACAAAAAAUAUAAUCAAAGUAAAUUCAGAUAUUGUGACUUGCAAUGCUGCCUUGCCUUGCAUGAUGCUGGGGGGUGGAGGGAAGAGAAAAGAAAUUGCUUUCUUUCUGUGGUUUCACUCAGUGGAGCUGGGGUGGGGGUGGGGGAGCACGUAUUAGGCUACAGGAAGAAAAGCUAAUAAAUAGGCUGGAAGUAAUACUCUACCAGCAGGAACUCGACAGCUCCAGUUAAACGCUUUGAUAUAGUGGCUCCUUUGCAGAGCAAAAACAAGAUUUAUUAAAUUUCCUUCAAAGUGUUUAUCUUAAAACAAAUACAAGUUUUUAAUUGUACUGCUGAAUCAAAUGUGAAUGCCAAAGACCAAACCUUACAGUUUGUCUUCCCUUUCAAUAAAUAUUAAGGUUCAUAAUUCUAGAAGGUAAAAUGUAAAUAGUUUUUGGAUAAUAUUUGCACCCAUGUUUGUGUUAUGGGGAAAAAAUUUCCAAGGAAAGCUAGAGAGAAAGAUGUUUGGC